RNAcentral lists this ribosomal RNA (511 nucleotides) under Podagrica malvae. Its description in RNAcentral is "partial 16S ribosomal RNA". The stretch from base 385 to 511 matches the Rfam family "Bacterial large subunit ribosomal RNA", at positions 2473 to 2600 of the family's 2925-position model. The record is from RNAcentral. Lineage: Eukaryota; Metazoa; Arthropoda; Insecta; Coleoptera; Chrysomelidae.
GUCUUUUUGUUAAUAAAUUUAAAGUCUAGCCUGCCCCCUGAAGUUUUAAAUGGCCGCAGUAUUUUGACUGUGCUAAGGUAGCAUAAUCAUUAGUUUUUUAAUUGAAAGCUGGAAUGAAGGGUUGGAUGAAAAAUUGACUGUCUCUUUAUAAUUUAAUUAGAAUUUUAUUUUUAAGUUAAAAAGCUUAAAUAUUUUUAAAAGACGAGAAGACCCUAUAGAGUUUAAUAGAUUAUUAGAAAUUAAUUUUUUAGUGAUUUAUAAAUUAAUUGUUAAUUAUAUUUAAUUGGGGUGAUUUAAAAAUUUAAAUAACUUUUUUUAUAUUAUUAUAUUUAUAAAUAAAUAAUUGAUCCAAUUUUUUUGAUUAUAAGAUAAAAUUACCUUAGGGAUAACAGCGUAAUUUUAUUAGAGAGUUCUAAUCGAAAAUAAAGUUUGCGACCUCGAUGUUGGAUUAAAAUUUGAAUUUGGUGUAGAAGCUAAAAUUCUAAGUCUGUUCGACUUUUAAAAUUUUACA